RNAcentral lists this long non-coding RNA (596 nucleotides) under Triticum aestivum (bread wheat). Its description in RNAcentral is "long non-coding RNA (TAES_LNC006337)". Lineage: Eukaryota; Viridiplantae; Streptophyta; Magnoliopsida; Poales; Poaceae. The record is from RNAcentral.
CAGGUCGAGGAGUUCUACGUCAUCACCUGGACCUCCCCCAAGGAGCAGGUGUUCGAGAUGCCCACCGGCGGCGCCGCCAUCAUGCGCGAGGGCCCCAACCUCCUCAAGCUCGCCCGCAAGGAGCAGUGCCUCGCCCUCGGCAACCGCCUCCGCUCCAAGUACAAGAUCGCCUACCAGUUCUACCGCGUCUUCCCCAACGGCGAGGUGCAGUACCUCCACCCCAAGGACGGCGUCUACCCGGAGAAGGUCAACGCCGGCAGGCAGGGCGUGGGGCAGAACUUCCGCAGCAUCGGCAAGAACGUCAGCCCCAUCGAGGUCAAGUUCACCGGCAAGAACUCCUUCGACAUCUAAUCUCGUACGUCGUAUAUGCGUACGUGCUAGUUCAUCGACCGGUAGUUAUUGGCGGGUGGCGAUGAUGAUGGACGUCCUGUAAUUUUAAUUGUCGAGUUUGAAUGCUGGAUUCGAUCGGUGAUAAUGAUGCAUCAGGUUAUAUGUACAUGGUAAUUUGAUGACGAUACUGCUGUAUGUUAACGUUGUUCAUAUGCAUGAUCGGCUUCUUUUCAUGUUGAUGAUGAGUGGUAUUUUGUUUGUUACAC